AAAUAAAUAGGCGGUGUCUGAGCUAAAAAACAGAGGAUCCUGGGCACUAAGGGACAAUCCACCUUCAGUUCUACCUUAUUUUAAUAAAGCGCGUGUAUGGUUGUCUACUCUAAUGUUAAAACGUCCGGGUUGAUGCCUUAGUUUAUUUUAGAUAAGCUAAGAAAUAAUUCAGAUUUACAUGCGGCUAUAUUAAGGGAGUUCUGGGAUACAAUUGUAACUGAAGCAAUUAAGCUUUUUCGGAAGAAUUUAACGAAAAAAUAAAGAGAAAUCUUAUUUUGAAGAAGGAUUUGUAAGUAAACACUUCAAAUUAUGUUGUGUUGAAUACAAUCAGAUGAGUACUAACUGCCCGUCGCUCGCGGAGAAAUCUGUGAAAAGUCGUAACAAGGUAGCGGUAACGGAAGUUGUCGCUAAUUUAAU
RNAcentral lists this ribosomal RNA (417 nucleotides) under Mytilus californianus (California mussel). RNAcentral describes it as "partial 12S ribosomal RNA". It matches the Rfam family "Microsporidia small subunit ribosomal RNA", at positions 780 to 1311 of the family's 1311-position model. Lineage: Eukaryota; Metazoa; Mollusca; Bivalvia; Mytilida; Mytilidae. The record is from RNAcentral.